Molecule: ribosomal RNA, 460 nt
Filed under: uncultured bacterium
Lineage: Bacteria
Description: partial 16S ribosomal RNA
Rfam family: Bacterial small subunit ribosomal RNA
Source: RNAcentral
CCUACGGGAGGCAGCAGUGAGGAAUAUUGGUCAAUGGACGCAAGUCUGAACCAGCCAUGCCGCGUGCAGGAAGACGGCUCUAUGAGUUGUAAACUGCUUUUGUACGAGGGUAAACGCAGAUACGCGUAUCUGUCUGAAAGUAUCGUACGAAUAAGGAUCGGCUAACUCCGUGCCAGCAGCCGCGGUAAUACGGAGGAUUCAAGCGUUAUCCGGAUUUAUUGGGUUUAAAGGGUGCGUAGGCGGUCGGAUAAGUUAGAGGUGAAAUCCCGAGGCUCAACUUCGGAAUUGCCUCUGAUACUGUUCGGCGAGAGUGUAGUUGCGGUAGGCGGAAUGUGUGGUGUAGCGGUGAAAUGCUUAGAGAUCAUACAGAACACCGAUUGCGAAGGCAGCUUACCAAGCUACUUCUGACGUUGAGGCACGAAAGCGUGGGGAGCAAACAGGAUUAGAUACCCCUGUAGUC